UAGAUACCCUAUUAUUAUUAGAAAAUUUAUGAUGGAUGAAAUUUUUUAAGUUAAGAAAAUUGGCGGUUUGUUUUCCAAUUAGAGGAGUUUGCUUUAUUAAAGGAAAUUGCGCCAAAAAGUUUACUUUUGUUGAGGUUUUUAUACCGCUGUUUUAAAAUUAUAUUUGAAAAGAUAAUUAAAAGGAUUAGAUUGUUUUUUAUACUAGUCAAUAAUUCAAGUCAAGGUGAAGCUAUACAAAAGAGUAGAGUGAAUUACAAUAAGAAUUUUUAUUACGAAUAUGGACUUUAUAAUCUCUUGAAGGUGAAUUUAAAGGUAAAUUUAUAUGCUAUUUUGAUUUGAGUUAAAACAAAUGUACAUAU
Molecule: ribosomal RNA, 359 nt
Filed under: Austropurcellia giribeti
Lineage: Eukaryota; Metazoa; Arthropoda; Arachnida; Opiliones; Pettalidae
Description: partial 12S ribosomal RNA
Source: RNAcentral